UACUUCAUUGCUGAAGGUCGUGUCCCUGAA
RNAcentral lists this small RNA (30 nucleotides) under Bombyx mori (domestic silkworm). RNAcentral's name for it is "ovarian small RNA-21620". Lineage: Eukaryota; Metazoa; Arthropoda; Insecta; Lepidoptera; Bombycidae. The record is from RNAcentral.